RNAcentral lists this long non-coding RNA (687 nucleotides) under Marmota monax (woodchuck). The record is from RNAcentral. Lineage: Eukaryota; Metazoa; Chordata; Mammalia; Rodentia; Sciuridae.
UCCCUUCAAGGCAUCUGGGAAGGAAAAAGAGAGAAAGAAGAAAAGUCCAGGGUCCUAAUUCCCCAAUGGAAUGGCCCUGAUGACUUAACUUUCUCCAUCUAGACCCGACAGGUGGUCUGCUUCCCAAGAGCACUAAGGAGUAGGGAUGGAGCUUUCAACACAGGGGUCUUUUGGAGGACACUUACCCAAACCAUAGCACAAACCAAUAUCCGUGUACAUCCAAAUAAAUAAGUAAAUUGUGAUAUUUCACAUUAUGAAACAAAUUAUCUAUAAAGAAGCAUGAAUUACAAUUCUCUGAAAAACAUACACAAGUUUAGAAAUAUAAUAUUCAGUGGAAACAUGCCAGACACUUAUUGCAUGUUUUCUUAUAUGAUUCGAAAAAAGGUGCAACUAAUGAUGGUUUUAGAAGGUGGGUGUUCACCUUCAAGGAAUAAUGCAGUAACUUAACAGGUAAAUGAGAGCACUUCUGGGAUGUUAGCAUUAUUUCUUUUCCCUUGAUCUUAGUACUGUUCCUUUUGGGAAUAUUUGUGUGACAGUGUACAUAGGAUUUGUAUAUUUUUCUGAUUUUUACCAUGCAUUUAUUUGAUUUAUAAAAUAAAUAAGAAAACAUUUCCAAAGAGCAGAAAAAAUCUUCCAGUAAUUAAAUGGACAAAACAUUAAUUCAUAGUUAGCAAAAGUUUAAAAAUU